RNAcentral lists this non-coding RNA (88 nucleotides) under Pseudomonas cremoricolorata. Lineage: Bacteria; Pseudomonadati; Pseudomonadota; Gammaproteobacteria; Pseudomonadales; Pseudomonadaceae. The record is from RNAcentral.
CAUCAUGGCGGCUGUGUGCGGGCAGGCUUCGGCGUGUCCGGGUUCCAAGGUUCCCGGUAGACCUACCCCGCACACAGUUGCCACUCAA